This 488-nucleotide ribosomal RNA is filed under the name uncultured bacterium. RNAcentral's name for it is "bacterial SSU rRNA". It matches the Rfam family "Bacterial small subunit ribosomal RNA", at positions 28 to 521 of the family's 1533-position model. The record is from RNAcentral.
GACGAACGCUGGCGGCGUGCUUAACACAUGCAAGUCACGGGGGUCCCGUAGCAAUACGGGAUAACCGGCGAACGGGUGCGUAACACGUGAGCAACCUGCCGUACUCAGGGGGAUAGCCGGCCCAACGGCCGGGUAAUACCGCAUACGAUUCUUCGGGGGAGUCCCCGGGGAAGGAAACCUCUGGGGGAGUACGAGGGGCUCGCGGCCUAUCAGCUAGUUGGUGCGGUAACGGCGCACCAAGGCGACGACGGGUAGCGGUCUGAGAGGAUGGCCAGCCACAUUGGGACUGAGAGACGGCCCAGACUCCUACGGGAGGCAGCAGUGGGGAAUCUUGCGCAAUGGCCGAAAGGCUGACGCAGCGACGCCGCGUGGGGGAUGAAGCAUUUCGGUGUGUAAACCCCUGUUGCCCGGGACGAACAGCGCUUUUCGAGGCGCCUGACGGUACCGGGUGAGGAAGCACCGGCUAACUCCGUGCCAGCCGCCGCGGU